AUGAACAGAGACAUGACAUGCUAUCAUAAAAGAGUUUAACCUGGAAGCAGUCAUCUGUGUGUGGGCAACUACUGAAAUGGAAGACAAAACCUGUAUAAAAAUUGCCAAGUGGGUACGUUCAGAAU
Lonchura striata (white-rumped munia) is the source of this 125-nucleotide non-coding RNA. Lineage: Eukaryota; Metazoa; Chordata; Aves; Passeriformes; Estrildidae. The record is from RefSeq and is a predicted model, not a curated record.